Molecule: microRNA precursor, 111 nt
Filed under: Dasypus novemcinctus (nine-banded armadillo)
Lineage: Eukaryota; Metazoa; Chordata; Mammalia; Cingulata; Dasypodidae
Description: microRNA 1287 (ENSDNOG00000027343.2)
Rfam family: mir-1287 microRNA precursor family (bases 6-96)
Source: RNAcentral
CUCCCAUUUUGCUGUCGCAGGUGCUGGAUCAGUGGUUUGAGUCCGAGCCUCUAAAAGCCACUCUUGCCACAGAUGCCGUGAUUGGAGCCAUGACAAGUCCCCACACUCCAG